GAGUGUGCGUUGCGCAAUUAAAACGUCCAAACCCUUUUAAACCCCAUUUGAUUGAAAACUGAAGUAUACUGUGGGGACGAAAGUCCUCGCUUUGAAACUAGAUAACAACUUUCAGCAGUGGAUGUCUAGGCUCGCACAUCGAUGAAGAACGCUGCGAACUGCGAUACGUAAUGCGAAUUGCAGGAUUCAGUGAGUCAUCGAACUUUUGAACGCAUAUUGCACUUUCGGGUUACGCCUGGAAGUAUGUCUGUAUCAGUGUCCGUACACUAAACUUGCGUCUCUUCCGUCGUGUAGUCGUCGGUUGUUUGAUUGCAGAUGUGAGGUUUGUCUCGCGAUGUCCCAAUUUGUUUAUUGGAUAGGUUGCGAGUCCCUUUAAAGUCGGACGCGUGUUUUUCCGUUUUGUGCUUGAUGGGGUGCGGCUGCGGCCGUGUCUGCUGGCGGGUCCGGUGACCUUUGGCGAUGGCAUGAGAGUGGAUUGCUCGAUUUGCGGUAUGUUAGGCUUCGGCUUUGACAAUGCAGCUUAUUGUGUGUGUUCGCUUGGCUGUUGCUGUAUGGGUGAGCUGGAUGGUCGGUGGAUGCGUUUGUUGCGUGUCGUUUUCAUUGAGUGCGUUACGGGUUGUCGUCGCCAUUUGGGAAUUUAAUGUUUUGAGUUUCGAUUCAAUACAUCUCA
RNAcentral lists this unclassified non-coding RNA (670 nucleotides) under Phytopythium cf. vexans C061. RNAcentral describes it as "Pythium cf. vexans C061 sequence contains ITS1, 5.8S rRNA gene and ITS2". The stretch from base 107 to 261 matches the Rfam family "5.8S ribosomal RNA". Lineage: Eukaryota; Oomycota; Peronosporomycetes; Pythiales; Pythiaceae. The record is from RNAcentral.